RNAcentral lists this ribosomal RNA (468 nucleotides) under uncultured bacterium. Its description in RNAcentral is "partial 16S ribosomal RNA". It matches the Rfam family "Bacterial small subunit ribosomal RNA", at positions 28 to 507 of the family's 1533-position model. The record is from RNAcentral.
GACGAACGCUGGCGGCGUGCUUAACACAUGCAAGUCGAACGGAAAGGCCCUGCUUUUGUGGGGUGCUCGAGUGGCGAACGGGUGAGUAACACGUGAGUAACCUGCCCUUGACUUUGGGAUAACUUCAGGAAACUGGGGCUAAUACCGGAUAGGAGCUCCUGCUGCAUGGUGGGGGUUGGAAAGUGUCGGCGGUUGGGGAUGGACUGGCGGCUUAUCAGCUUGUGGGUGGGGUAGUGGCUUACCAAGGCUUUGACGGGUAGCCGGCCUGAGAGGGUGACCGGCCCCAUUGGGACUGAGAUGCGGCCCAGACUCCUACGGGAGGCAGCAGUGGGGUAUGUUGCACAAUGGGCGGAAGCCUGAUGCGGCAACGCCGCGUGCGGGAUGACGGCCUUCGGGUUGGUAACCGCUUUCGCAUGUGACGAAGCGUGAGUGACGGUAAUGGGUAAAGAAGCACCGGCUAACUACGUG